ACCUGCAUCGAAAGUGAUUUUGGUCUGGUUUGUGGCCUGGUCAUUGAUAGUGCAGGAAGAGAAUCCUUGACGGCAUUUCCCGUGUUUGGAGGGUCCUUUUUCGUCUCUGCCAAACCCUGAGCUUUUCAGACA
This 132-nucleotide small nucleolar RNA is filed under the name Salvator merianae (Argentine black and white tegu). RNAcentral describes it as "Small nucleolar RNA SNORA71 (ENSSMRG00000000606.1)". It matches the Rfam family "Small nucleolar RNA SNORA71". Rfam says of the family: The members of this family belong to the H/ACA class of snoRNAs which bind a number of proteins (including dyskerin, Gar1p and Nop10p) to form snoRNP complexes. This class of snoRNAs are thought to guide the sites of modification of uridines to pseudouridines by forming direct base pairing interactions with substrate RNAs. Lineage: Eukaryota; Metazoa; Chordata; Lepidosauria; Squamata; Teiidae. The record is from Rfam by way of RNAcentral.